This 552-nucleotide ribosomal RNA is filed under the name Salmonella enterica. RNAcentral's name for it is "bacterial LSU rRNA". It matches the Rfam family "Bacterial large subunit ribosomal RNA", at positions 1192 to 1658 of the family's 2925-position model. Lineage: Bacteria; Pseudomonadati; Pseudomonadota; Gammaproteobacteria; Enterobacterales; Enterobacteriaceae. The record is from RNAcentral. RNAcentral also lists the same sequence under 3 other names.
CACCGAAGCUGCGGCAGCGAACGUAUCACCCAAGACAACUUUACGGAGUUGACGAUUGACGGAGCGAAGCGACGUCAAAGCGUUCAUUAAAGUCGAGUUGGCUUAGGGAUACGUUCGUUGGGUAGGGGAGCGUUCUGUAAGCCUGUGAAGGUGUGUCGUGAGGCAUGCUGGAGGUAUCAGAAGUGCGAAUGCUGACAUAAGUAACGAUAAAGCGGGUGAAAAGCCCGCUCGCCGGAAGACCAAGGGUUCCUGUCCAACGUUAAUCGGGGCAGGGUGAGUCGACCCCUAAGGCGAGGCCGAAAGGCGUAGUCGAUGGGAAACGGGUUAAUAUUCCCGUACUUGGUGUUACUGCGAAGGGGGGACGGAGAAGGCUAUGUUGGCCGGGCGACGGUUGUCCCGGUUUAAGCGUGUAGGUGUGUGUUCCAGGUAAAUCCGGUUCACUUUAACACUGAGGCGUGACGACGAGGCACUACGGUGCUGAAGCAACAAAUGCCCUGCUUCCAGGAAAAGCCUCUAAGCAUCAGGUAACACGAAAUCGUACCCCAAACCGAC